GAUGAAGAACGCAGCGAAAUGCGAUAAGUAAUGUGAAUUGCAGAAUUCAGUGAAUCAUCGAAUCUUUGAACGCACAUUGCGCCCCUUGGUAUUCCGAGGGGCAUGCCUGUUCGAGCGUCAUUAUAACCCCUCAAGCUCAGCUUGGUGUUGGGGCCUGCUGCACUGGCAGCCCUUAAAAUCAGUGGCGGCGCCAUCUGGCUCUAAGCGUAGUAAUUCUUCUCGCUAUGGAGUCCUGGUGGAUGCUUGCCAUCAACCCCCAAUUUUUCUAUGGUUGACCUCGGAUCAGGUAGGGAUACCCGCUGAACUUAAGCAUAUCAAUAAGCGGGA
RNAcentral lists this unclassified non-coding RNA (327 nucleotides) under soil metagenome. RNAcentral describes it as "partial contains 5.8S ribosomal RNA, internal transcribed spacer 2, and large subunit ribosomal RNA". The stretch from base 1 to 120 matches the Rfam family "5.8S ribosomal RNA", at positions 35 to 154 of the family's 154-position model. The record is from RNAcentral.